RNAcentral lists this transfer RNA (85 nucleotides) under Felis catus (domestic cat). It matches the Rfam family "tRNA". From Rfam's summary of the family: Transfer RNA (tRNA) molecules are approximately 80 nucleotides in length. Their secondary structure includes four short double-helical elements and three loops (D, anti-codon, and T loops). Further hydrogen bonds mediate the characteristic L-shaped molecular structure. tRNAs have two regions of fundamental functional importance: the anti-codon, which is responsible for specific mRNA codon recognition, and the 3' end, to which the tRNAs corresponding amino acid is attached (by aminoacyl-tRNA synthetases). tRNAs cope with the degeneracy of the genetic code in two manners: having more than one tRNA (with a specific anti-codon) for a particular amino acid; and 'wobble' base-pairing, i.e. permitting non-standard base-pairing at the 3rd anti-codon position. The record is from Rfam by way of RNAcentral. Lineage: Eukaryota; Metazoa; Chordata; Mammalia; Carnivora; Felidae.
GCCUGGGUGGCUCAGUCGGUUGGGCAUCUGACUUCAGCUCAGGUCACGAUCUCACGGUCCGUGAGUUCGAGCCCCGCAUCGGGCU